GACGAACGCUGGCGGCGUGCUUAACACAUGCAAGUCGAACGCUGAACCACUUUCGGGUGGGGAUGAGUGGCGAACGGGUGAGUAACACGUGGGUAAUCUGCCCUGCACUCUGGGAUAAGCCUUGGAAACGGGGUCUAAUACCGGAUAUCACACUCUUGGGCAUCCAGGGGUGUUGAAAGUUCUGGCGGUGCAGGAUGAACCCGCGGCCUAUCAGCUUGUUGGUGGGGUAAUGGCCUACCAAGGCGACGACGGGUAGCCGGCCUGAGAGGGUGACCGG
Molecule: ribosomal RNA, 277 nt
Filed under: uncultured bacterium
Lineage: Bacteria
Description: partial 16S ribosomal RNA
Rfam family: Bacterial small subunit ribosomal RNA
Source: RNAcentral